UUCAAUCGGGUAGGGUUUCGCUUUACGCGAAGUAACAGGGAAUCGUGUGCAAAUCACGAGCUGUCGCGCAACUGUAAGUAACGCAUAGACAUGCUUACACACAACCUCGGCUAUCCGCGUAUUGGUAGCCAUAGAGAACUCAAGAAAGCCUGCGAAAGUUACUGGUCUUCC
This 171-nucleotide non-coding RNA is filed under the name Betaproteobacteria bacterium. Lineage: Bacteria; Pseudomonadati; Pseudomonadota; Betaproteobacteria. The record is from RNAcentral.